ACCUGGGUGGCUCAGUUGGUUAAGCAUCCGACUUUAGCUCAGGUUAGGAUCUCACAGUUCGUGGGUUCGAGCCCCACCUUGGGCU
Molecule: transfer RNA, 85 nt
Filed under: Felis catus (domestic cat)
Lineage: Eukaryota; Metazoa; Chordata; Mammalia; Carnivora; Felidae
Rfam family: tRNA
About the family: Transfer RNA (tRNA) molecules are approximately 80 nucleotides in length. Their secondary structure includes four short double-helical elements and three loops (D, anti-codon, and T loops).
Source: Rfam by way of RNAcentral